This 460-nucleotide ribosomal RNA is filed under the name uncultured bacterium. RNAcentral's name for it is "partial 16S ribosomal RNA". It matches the Rfam family "Bacterial small subunit ribosomal RNA", at positions 338 to 795 of the family's 1533-position model. The record is from RNAcentral.
CCUACGGGGCGCAGCAGUGAGGAAUAUUGGUCAAUGGACGCAAGUCUGAACCAGCCAUGCCGCGUGCAGGAAGACGGCUCUAUGAGUUGUAAACUGCUUUUUUACGAGGGUAAACGCAUAUACGCGUAUCUGUCUGAAAGUAUCGUACGAAUAAGGAUCGGCUAACUCCGUGCCAGCAGCCGCGGUAAUACGGAGGAUUCAAGCGUUAUCCGGAUUUAUUGGGUUUAAAGGGUGCGUAGGCGGUCGGAUAAGUUAGAUGUGAAAUCCCGAGGCUCAACUUCGGAAUUGCCUCUGAUACUGGUCGGCUAGAGAGUAGUUGAGGUAGGCGGAAGGUAAGGUGUAGCGGUGAAAUGCUUAGAGAUAAUACAGAACACCGAUUGCGAAGGCAGCUUACUAAGCUACUUCUGACGUUGAGGUACGAAAGCGUGGGGAGCAAACAGGAUUAGAUACCCCUGUAGUC